RNAcentral lists this ribosomal RNA (432 nucleotides) under uncultured bacterium. RNAcentral's name for it is "partial 16S ribosomal RNA". It matches the Rfam family "Bacterial small subunit ribosomal RNA", at positions 29 to 507 of the family's 1533-position model. The record is from RNAcentral.
AGCGAACGCUGGCGGCAGGCCUAACACAUGCAAGUCGAACGGAUCCUUCGGGAUUAGUGGCGGACGGGUGAGUAACACGUGGGAACGUGCCCUUUGGUUCGGAACAACUCAGGGAAACUUGAGCUAAUACCGGAUGUGCCCUUCGGGGGAAAGAUUUAUCGCCAUUGGAGCGGCCCGCGUCUGAUUAGCUAGUUGGUGAGGUAACGGCCACCAAGGCGACGAUCAGUAGCUGGUCUGAGAGGAUGAUCAGCCACACUGGGACUGAGACACGGCCCAGACUCCUACGGGAGGCAGCAGUGGGGAAUCUUGCGCAAUGGGCGAAAGCCUGACGCAGCCAUGCCGCGUGAAUGAUGAAGGUCUUAGGAUUGUAAAAUUCUUUCAGCGGGGACGAUAAUGACGGUACCCGCAGAAGAAGCUCCGGCUAACUUCGUG